ACAACUCUUCAUCCAGGAAAUCACCAACAACUUAUUUCCUUAAGCACAGAAUAGGAAAAAUUUUGCUUAAUUGCCUUACCACAUCUCUCUGGUCCAAGUGGUAAGUUUUAUUUCAUGAAAUCUUUCUUGUCUGAGGGAUUUACGCAGUAAUUUCAUGUAUGUCAGUUUAUUUUAAAGAGACAGGAAUGUCAUAAAGUGAGUGGGGUUUUCAGAUGAAUGAUUGUUUUUCUGAAAUAGAUAAAAGGCCACAAAGAGGGAAAAAGAGAUUAAAGUGGAGUAUACAAUGAUGGUCAGGAUGGUAUACUUUUCAAAUACAAAUGAAGAAUGUGGAGAUAUCUUUUACCAGACGUCUCCCAAGAACAUUUCUUCAAAAUAGGUCCUUAUAAGUACACAUUUGAGAUUGAGAGAAGAGGCUCGUUCAUAAUAUGUAUGUCUGAAAUUCUUAAACAACUCUCCAUUAAAACAAACAAAAAAAUAAAAAAAAAAACACUGGGUAAAGGAUGUAAAAAGAAGUGUCUAGAGCUUAUCUAUUUGUAAAAAGAUUCCUAAGUUACACCUGUCAAAAAUUUCUGCUCAGAUUUGUUUUGAUCUAGUUCUUAAGUAUUAUGACACCCUUUCUGAUCGUAGUGUUCAGACUUUUCAGCUCUAUCCUUGUUCUUAACCUUGGCCUAUUUUGGAAAUGGUAAUUUUAAUGCAAGUAAGUUCCUUUUAAAAUAUGAUUAGUAGACCAACAGUUGUUGACCAUCAGGAGUCACACAAGGGUAUGACCUAAGAUGGAGCUUUUGUGUGUGUUUUAGCUAGGAGGAAAGUCAUCUCCAUAUUCUUCACUUAAAGGGCCUAAAGGAGGCGGGGGCAGGAGGGACAAUCUUCUACAAUUUAUUACUGUGGGUCAGUUAUUUCCAGGUGAAAUGCAACUUCAAUGUUGCAACUAGUUGCUAAAUGCAGUUCAGUCUAGAUCAGUACUUUUUUUUUUUUUUUUUUUGCACAAAAUGAAGCCUGCAUGUGACUUCGACACACUGAUAUUUAAACAUUUAUGCACCAUUCAUAAGACAGGAUUUUGACAUUGACCAUGGUUGACCGUGCUAGGUAGAAUAUCAUAGAAAUUUAAACAACAAAAGGACAACAAAACAGAGGUUGAAUAGUGACAGCAAAGAAAAUAAAUACUAAAUUGUUCUUCUUUAUAAAAGACUGUUUUCUGUAUGAAUGUAUGAUACAUUUGACAUAAUUUUAUAUAAUGGAACAUGAGCACUCUACCGACAAAGGAUGGAGGUCUAGUGAUGCAGGUGAAAUGAUAAGCAGAGGCUACUGAAGUUCUGCUCUACAGCAUGUCAGCUGUUUCUCACCUUACCCCAGGGUACCUUGUGGCUGCUGGGGCCUACAGGCUGCUCUGGGUUUCACAAUUCUCUCCCUCCUCCAGACAUUAUCUGUGUGUGUUUCAAGAAUAGUCGUGGGUAAUUAUAAUUACACUUCCCGGAUGCUAGAACCGAAGCAAAUCAUUCUAGUCAUGGCUUCAAGAAAAGAAAAAAUAUUCUCUUCUAAGCUCUGCUUUUUCUCAUUAGAGAAAUGAUGUACUUAAUUUUUUUUUAUUGUUUAUUAUUUUUGAGAGAGAAAGAGAGAGAGAGAGACUGAGAGCAAGCAGGGAAGGGGCAGAGAGAGAGAGGGAGACACAUAAUCGGAAGCAGGCUCCAGGCUCUGAGGGCUCAGGACAGAGCCCAAGGUGGGGCUCAAACACACAGCGAGAUCAUGAGCUGAGCUGGAGUCAGCUGCCCAACCGACUGAGCCACCCAGGCACCCCUGAUGUAUUUAAUUUUAAAAUGUGUUUCCUGUGGCAAAGAUCCUGGAAUUAAAGAGUGACGUUUACUCUCUCAUCCACACCAGAGUUCCUCAAAUAUCCAGCUCUCCUAUCUCUCAUUGGUCUCUUCUCCUCUCACUGUUUCAUUCUCCACCCUCUCCACUCUCCACCCUCCGGGCACUGGCCUCUAGAGACAGCACAGGCUGAGCUCCUCUGUGUGCCCCUGGUUGGAUUUGGUCAACAGGAAGCCCCAGUUAAGACAUCAAAGAGCAGAGGAAUGAGAGGUCAGGUAGAUGUUCUCCCUGCUGAACCUGCUGGGUCACAGUUUGGCAAUGGCUCUGUUCCUCCAUCUAGAGAGUCAUAGCUCCUCUACGAUGCCUUAACUCUUAUGUUGCAAUAACACAUUCCAUCUUCUUGUAUCUUCAGGCCUAAAGGUAAUAGUAGCUUCUGCUUUUUAUCUCCCAGUG
This is a long non-coding RNA of Acinonyx jubatus (cheetah), 2259 nucleotides long. RefSeq lists it as uncharacterized. NCBI's taxonomy places the organism in Eukaryota, Metazoa, Chordata, Mammalia, Carnivora, Felidae. The record is from RefSeq and is a predicted model, not a curated record. The transcript is spliced from 3 exons.